RNAcentral lists this ribosomal RNA (253 nucleotides) under uncultured bacterium. RNAcentral's name for it is "partial 16S ribosomal RNA". It matches the Rfam family "Bacterial small subunit ribosomal RNA", at positions 524 to 776 of the family's 1533-position model. The record is from RNAcentral.
UACAGGGGGGGCAAGCGUUGUUCGGAAUUACUGGGCGUAAAGGGCUCGUAGGUGGCCGACUAAGUCAGACGUGAAAUCCCUCAGCUUAACUGGGGAACUGCCUUUGAUACUGGCGAUCUCGAGUCCGGGAGAGGUGAGUGGAACUGCGAGUGUAGAGGUGAAAUUCGUAGAUAUUCGCAAGAACACCAGUGGCGAAGGCGGCUCACUGGCCCGGUACUGACGCUGAGGUGCGAAAGCGUGGGGAGCAAACAGG